This 1410-nucleotide long non-coding RNA is filed under the name Sus scrofa (pig). RNAcentral's name for it is "lncRNA (ENSSSCG00050018336.1, ENSSSCG00065077085.1)". The record is from RNAcentral. Lineage: Eukaryota; Metazoa; Chordata; Mammalia; Artiodactyla; Suidae.
GCGCCACCUUGACACUGUUUCGAUGGUUUGGGCCGCAUGAGUGCAGCCCUGCUGGCCCUCCUUCAGGGCCUCAGCUUUUCUGAGCGUCGGUCGCCGAGCUGCCCCUCGGAAGCGGCUGCUGGUUUUGGCCGAGGCGGCUUUGGGCAGAAGGAAGUGGACGGGUGAUUCAUUUCAUAAAUGUUGGUUCCUCCAGAGAACUGAACAGAACCUGCGACCCUGCAGGUGCUUUUCAACAAGUGGAUGACUUCCAGGCCGCUCUAGCCAAUGAAGAUGGAGCAGGGACCCUGAGAUAGAAGGCUUCAUUUGGCAUGACUCAGCCUUGGAGACAUCCAUCCCCUUGGCCUGUGUUGUUGAGUGCCUGGUUCUGUAAAUAUUGGCAGUUAGAAACCAGCCUGAGAGCUACCAAGCAAUGAUCUGGAAGCCGUCUUCAUAUACACAGCUGCCUUCAACCUGUGUCCACGCAGGUCAAUUCCCAGUUCAUGAUGUCCUUUUAGCGAAUGGAAUGGUCCAGGUACUUGUGACAAAAUAUUGCACGGUGAAGUCUUUCCAUUGGAAUAAUUGACUGUAUUUCAUUUUGGUCCUUAAAAUAUAUAAACUUUGCCCAUCAAAUUUUGAGUUGGAGAAAAUUCGUUGAGGAGGCUAUUGUCAUCUGAAGACUCAUUGUCUGGAGUUUCCCUCAUACUAUCAAAUUCGUCAUUGUCCUUGGAGCCCAAGUCUGGCCGCCUCUGCCUUCAUCUUCUGAUUCAUUGAAGGAUUGUGAAACAUCUUCCUUUAUUUUUUCCUCUUUGCCAUGAUAAAUGGAGAGCAAAGGAAUUCACUGUCUUCUACUAUGUUUGAUGCAGGCUACAAAGAUGGUGUGUCCAGUCUUCUCUUAUUCCUUCUUAAAGAUGAUGCCAUACUUUUGGCAAUGCAAUGGGAAAGCCUUGAAUGAUGCAGUUGUGUUGAUUUAUCUCAUUAUUGCAUUAUCCUCUGAAUCCAGGUCAUUCCACAAUUCUUCUUCUUCUUUCAUAUUGGUCAGAAAAACUCAUGAGUAAUGAUGAAGUAGCAAAUGUUAUUCAAUGACAUGGGAAAAAUAAGCACCCUAAGUCACUUAGAUGUACAACAGGGUCCAAUGGAUGCUAUGGUAAUAUAGAAUUAAUCUUAUUUCUUUAAGAAAAAUAAGUAAUUUUUUUUCCUUUGGAAAACUUAUAAUAAAGAAUAAAAAUUAAGUGAUAACCAAUCCUUUCAAAAAAUAGAACUGCUCAAAAAAGAAACUCAAAAAUUAAAACUCGGGAGUUCUAUGGUGCAAUGGGUUAAGGAUCUGGCAUUUUCACUGCAGUGAUUUAGGUCACUGCUGUGGCUCGGGUUCAUUCUUUGGCCCAGGAACUUCCACAUGCUGUGGGCACAGCCAAAAAAAAAAAAAAAAAAAAA